GACGAACGCUGGCGGCGUGCUUAACACAUGCAAGUCGAACGGAAAGGCCCUGCUUUUGUGGUGUGCUCGAGUGGCGAACGGGUGAGUAACACGUGAGUACCCUGCCUUUGACUUUGGGAUAACUUCAGGAAACUGGGGCUAUUCCCCGAUAGGAGCUCCUGCUGCAUGGUGGGGGUUGGAAAGUUUCGGCGGUUGGGGCUGGACGGGCGGCUUAUCAGCUUGUUGGGGGGGUAGUGGCUUACCAAGGCUUUGCCGGAUAGCCGACAUGAGAGGGUGGCCAGGCACAAGGGGCCUAAGAUAGGGAGCAGUCGGCAAUGGGAGGCAGUGGUGGGGAACAUGACACAGUGGGGGGAAGCGUGAUGAAGCGGCCCCGCGUGUGUGAAGCCGGUCUGCGCGGUAUGAACCGCUUUGGCCUGUGACGAAGCGUGAGUGACGGUAACGGGUGAAGAAGCACCGGCUAACUACGUG
Molecule: ribosomal RNA, 468 nt
Filed under: uncultured bacterium
Lineage: Bacteria
Description: partial 16S ribosomal RNA
Rfam family: Bacterial small subunit ribosomal RNA
Source: RNAcentral